This 256-nucleotide ribosomal RNA is filed under the name uncultured bacterium. RNAcentral's name for it is "partial 16S ribosomal RNA". It matches the Rfam family "Bacterial small subunit ribosomal RNA", at positions 57 to 305 of the family's 1533-position model. The record is from RNAcentral.
GCAAGUCGAACGGUAACAGAAGAGUGCUUGCACUUUUGCUGACGAGUGGCGGACGGGUGAGUAAUGCUUGGGAAUAUGCCUUAUGGUGGGGGACAACAGUUGGAAACGACUGCUAAUACCGCAUAAUGUCCUUUCGAGGACCAAAGCAGGGGACCUUCGGGCCUUGCGCCGUAAGAUUAGCCCAAGUGGGAUUAGCUAGUUGGUAAGGUAAUGGCUUACCAAGGCGUCGAUCCCUAGCUGGUCUUAGAGGAUGACC